UGCAAGUCGAGCGGAAAGGCCCUUCGGGGUACUCGAGCGGCGAACGGGUGAGUAACACGUGAGCAACCUGCCCCAAGCUUUGGGAUAACCCUCGGAAACGGGGGCUAAUACCGAAUAGGACUGCUGGCCGCAUGGCUGGUGGUGGAAAGUUUUUCGGCUUGGGAUGGGCUCGCGGCCUAUCAGCUUGUUGGUGGGGUGAUGGCCUACCAAGGCGACGACGGGUAGCCGGCCUGAGAGGGCGACCGGCCACACUGGGACUGAGACACGGCCCAGACUCCUACGGGAGGCAGCAGUGGGGAAUAUUGCACAAUGGGCGGAAGCCUGAUGCAGCGACGCCGCGUGAGGGAUGACGGCCUUCGGGUUGUAAACCUCUUUCAGCAGGGACGAAGCGAGAGUGACGGUACCUGCAGAAGAAGCACCGGCCAACUACGUGCCAGCAGCCGCGGUAAGACGUAGGGUGCGAGCGUUGUCCGGAUUUAUUGGGCGUAAAGAGCUCGUAGGCGGCUUGUCGCGUCGACCGUGAAAACUUGGGGCUCAACCCCAAGCCUGCGGUCGAUACGGGCAGGCUAGAGUUCGGUAGGGGAGACUGGAAUUCCUGGUGUAGCGGUGAAAUGCGCAGAUAUCAGGAGGAACACCGGUGGCGAAGGCGGGUCUCUGGGCCGAUACUGACGCUGAGGAGCGAAAGCGUGGGGAGCGAACAGGAUUAGAUACCCUGGUAGUCCACGCUGU
This 729-nucleotide ribosomal RNA is filed under the name Micromonospora sp. YIM 63538. RNAcentral's name for it is "bacterial SSU rRNA". It matches the Rfam family "Bacterial small subunit ribosomal RNA", at positions 56 to 803 of the family's 1533-position model. The record is from RNAcentral. Lineage: Bacteria; Bacillati; Actinomycetota; Actinomycetes; Micromonosporales; Micromonosporaceae.